Molecule: ribosomal RNA, 487 nt
Filed under: uncultured bacterium
Lineage: Bacteria
Description: partial 16S ribosomal RNA
Rfam family: Bacterial small subunit ribosomal RNA
Source: RNAcentral
GAUAAACGCUGGCGGCGCACAUAAGACAUGCAAGUCGAACGGACUUAACUCAUUCUUUUAGAUUGAGAGCGGUUAGUGGCGGACUGGUGAGUAACACGUAAGCAACCUGCCUAUCGGAGGGGAAUAACAGUGAGAAAUCAUUGCUAAUACCGCAUAAGCUAGUAGCAUCGCAUGAUGUAGCUAGAAAAGGAGUAAUCCGCUGAUAGAUGGGCUUGCGUCUGAUUAGCUAGUUGGUGGGGCAACGGCCUACCAAGGCGACGAUCAGUAGCCGGACUGAGAGGUUGAACGGCCACAUUGGGACUGAGAUACGGCCCAGACUCCUACGGGAGGCAGCAGUCGGGAAUAUUGCGCAAUGGAGGAAACUCUGACGCAGUGACGCCGCGUAUAGGAAGAAGGUUUUCGGAUUGUAAACUAUUGUCGUGAGGGAAGAAAUUGACAGUACCUCAGGAGGAAGCUCCGGCUAACUAUGUGCCAGCCGCCGCGGUAA